GGACAGGUGCCGUUGGCUUAAUAGAGAAACCGGUGGGAUGCCGGUACGGUCACGCCACUGUAUUGCGGAAGAGCCUUACGAUGUGCCACUGGGAGGAUUCCCGGGAAGGCGUGGGGCUUUGAUGAUGCAGAGUCAGGAGAACUGCCUGUCCG
RNAcentral lists this non-coding RNA (152 nucleotides) under bovine gut metagenome. The record is from RNAcentral.